Non-coding RNA from Camellia sinensis, 3322 nucleotides. NCBI's taxonomy places the organism in Eukaryota, Viridiplantae, Streptophyta, Magnoliopsida, Ericales, Theaceae. The record is from RefSeq and is a predicted model, not a curated record.
GUAUCCUACAAUAUAUAUAUAUAUAUAUAUAUAUAUGUCACUUUGUUAACGUUAUUGUUUGGCACUAAGUGCUUGACUGAACAAGCACUGAUUAGCAAUACAAAUGGUAAAUUAUUAUUUAUGAUAGCCUUUGAAAGAUUUGGUUAUGAUAAACUUUAUUUUUGUCUGUUUUGGAGGAAAUAAUCAUUGACAUUGACAGCCUGAAGCUCAUCUUGUCAUAAUAGCUUGUGGCUUUGCUUUGGAGGAAUUUCACCUGAAGAUGGUGGGGAGGGCUAUGCAACAUACAUUUGCAGUUUCAUCAUCUUCAGUUUCUUGCAGUGAUACUGAUAAGGUGAAGCUGCGAAACAAAAAUUUGGACGAGAAAUCUGUAUGUUUGAAACCCCAAAUGCUUCUCUAACACCCAGCAAUGUGUCUAGCAGUGGUAUGACCACUAAACCAUUUAUGCCAUUAUUGUUCAUCAUUACCUAUGGAGUACUCUAAUAAUGUGGAAUAUGUAUUGGAGUACCCUCUUCAAAUGCAUGAUUCACUUUGGUUAGCAGAGGAGCCAGAUGACUUCUAUGAGUUAGUUUUGUGAGGAAGAUGAUAAAUGUGUAUGAGUACCAUUUAUGUAAGAACUGAAAACUUUGUCCUAUUUAUACCAAUUCAAAUGCAUAUUGGAACCUUUAUGGAAAUCGAGGGAUGAGACUUAGCAUAUCAGUUCACUUAUAAUGGGGUCGUUAAAUGGAACUGCAAAUUGCUAUAAGUGUUGGUCGCUGUACUAUGUAGGAUCUCUAUAUAUCUAUAUUCCCAUAUAUGUAAUUCAAAGGUUUAGAUUGUCUUGAUUUCAAUCUUUGCUAUCACUGCUUGAGUGUCUCUAUCUCUCACGCUUUUAUUUAUUUGUAUUUUACUUUUCUUGCUCUAUGUUUUAAUUUAAAUGAUCACUGUUCCCUUUGAGUUGUCUAAUUGUACAGGGUAGCUGUCAUAACUUUGUAGUUCCAUCUAGUGCAUCUCUGUCAGCGAGACAUGGGCCGUCUUCUACAGAUGCCGCAUUGCUCCCUUUACUGAGGUCUUUCAAUAAUGAUUCAUCAAAAAGAGACAUAGGCAUGUCAUUAGAACAUUGUGCUGAGGAAUCUAGUUGAAGAUGUGAACUUGUGAAAAACUGUGCUUAGCCUUCUGACCAGAAAACACUGAAUUUCUCGAUGUAGUUGCUUGUUCUAAUCUUGAGAGGAUAAGGAGACUUAAGAAAAAAGCUGAAUUUCUCGAUGUAUCUUUUAGAGAAAAUGCAGUUUUCUCGCAGCAAGUAUGUUUCAAAACUUUAUUGAAGAAUAAACAUGCAUCCUAGAAUUAUUUGACUGACAAGGACUGUAUUCAUACAUCUUGAUUAGUUUGAACACAUCCAUCUUGAAGAGCUCUCUUCUAUACCUCAAGUUCCAGCCACGUAAUCCAUCCUUGCCAUUAAAAGGUUCCUAGACAGAUAAAUCCUUGGUCCUUGAAAGCAAAUACAGUCAUGAAUAUAAAUCUUUUAAACAGCUAUUUCCCAUCCAUUGGUUAGACCAAAACAUACAUCUCAUCCCAUUGCCUAGUUUAAUUGAAGCACUUGAUUGAAAAAAAAGUUAAAAGACCCUAGGAUUAGUUGUAGCUAAUAAUAAGAUAUCCCUCCAUACUCUUGAUAAUCUGCUAUGUUAUUGGCGGAUUGAUUGUCACUUACCACCAUGUACAUCUUUCCCUGAUAUUUGAUGUAGAAAAUAUUUUGACUCCUGUCCGUGGAAUUGUUGCCAAAAUUUUACAUUAGGUGUUUUCAUAUUUUUAAUCUAACAUAUUUGAUCCUGAUAUUUAAGUUUCUCUCUAAUUUCAUAGUUUGCUAAUGCUUAAACUGGUCUGUAUCUUCUUAUAAUUUUUACUUACUAUUUUCCUUUUGGGUUUCAUUGGUUAAAGCCAUAUCUUCAUACUUCAACAAAUGUCAUGCUUCAAGGUACCCCAUUGAACUCUCUUCUUGGAAAUUCAUUCAUGCUUUGUGUAUAUUAUGUUCUACACCUCUGGGAAAUCAUCAGUUUUCCCCUGUUUUUGCCUCUUUGUCUAGACUUGUUAUAAAGAUGGCCCAAAGGUAUUCUAUUUUAUUGGUCCUGGGUAAACAAAAUUCUUGUGUGUCAACAUUUUCCACUAUUUUUAACAUGUUUUGAUUGUAAGUUCAGCAUGGUCCAUAAAGAGUAUUUAUUUUGUCUUGUAUGGAUUUUUGUUCUUAAACUAUCCUACUACUUUUGUCCCUUUAAUUCUGAGAUGAUGGUACCAUGAAUUCUAGGGUGUGGCUGGGAGUAUGAGCUUGAGAGAGGUGCAAUACUUACAAAUUAACAAAUUUUACGUUUUAUCAAUUUGUAUAUAUACAUAUGGAAAUUAUUAACACAUUAUACUAACAUAUGGAAAUUUUACGUUUUAUCAAUUGCAAAUGGGUUUUCUUCAGGGACAUCAUUUACCUAGAAAGCAAGUAACAUGCAUAUGCAUAAAGGGUAUAUCAUUUGCUGUGGAAUGAGUUCAGACAAUCAUUGUCUUGAUCCAUACAUUUUAAUGAGUAGUUAUAAUUAUCUGAGUACAGGUUGUCACACAAUGGAAUUUUAAUUUAUAUCACAAUUUUUUUCUUUGUUAUGCUAGAAUCUUAUUCAAAAUACGAAUGAGAUAAGACUGGAGUUAUAAUCCUUCAUUUUUUAGGGGCUUGGCUCAUCUAAAUGACACCUCAAGAGGCCUUGAAAAUUUGAUUGGGCUGCAGGCCUAUGAACCGAAUACCGAGAGAGAGCCAAGUUCUGUAUGCUGAUUGACCCAAAAAAUAGUGGCCAUGUUUACUGAAAAUUUGAUUCCAAAAGUGAUAGCAAUAGGCACUAUUGUUAGUCUAUACAAUAUUUUAGUGCAGCUGCCUUUAUCCCCAUCAAUGGUAACACAGACUUCUUGCCUAACAUGAAAUCAAAGCCUUUUGAAUUUGUUGCUUUUUAAACUUGGUUGCAUCUAUAAGUCUUUGUUUAAUUGCCACUUGCAGAUUGAGUUCAGCUGUGGUGAUUCAUGACCAUCAUUUACUAUACUAACACUUGUUCCACAUUUGGACUUCAUAGAUUUUACAGCUUAGCUAUUAUCAAAUUUAACAUUAAAUUUUUUCGAUCCAUCUAAGUAGCAAAAUUCAAAUUCCCUUAUUGAUCAAUUACUAGAAGCGGGUCAAAUUCAAGAAUGAUUGUCUUGAUGAUGGUCAUACCAGUAGUUAUUUAAUUUUUUUUUUCCCUUUUGUUUAUUUAUUUUUAUUUUUUGACAACUCCACUAGUACCUGUCACAUGCUAGUAAAAUUCUAUACACAAAUAUUAGA